Molecule: ribosomal RNA, 468 nt
Filed under: uncultured bacterium
Lineage: Bacteria
Description: partial 16S ribosomal RNA
Rfam family: Bacterial small subunit ribosomal RNA
Source: RNAcentral
GACGAACGCUGGCGGCGUGCUUAACACAUGCAAGUCGAACGGAAAGGCCCUUCUUUUGUGGGGUUCUCGAGUGGCGAACGGGUGUGUAACACGUGAGUAACCUGCCCUUGACUUUGGGAUCAAUUCAGGAAACUGGGGCUAAUACCGGAUAGGAGCUCCUGCUGCAUGGUGGGGGGUGGAAAGUUUCGGCGGGUGGGGAUGGACUCGCGGCUUUUCAGCUUGUUGGUGGGGUAGUGGCUUACCAAGGCUUUGACGGGUAGCCGGCCUGAGAGGGUGACCGGCCACAUUGGGGCUGAGAUACGGCCCAGACUCCUACGGGAGGCAGCAGUGGGGAAUAUUGCACAAGGGGCGGAAGCCUGAUGCAGCAACGCCGCGUGCGGGAUGACGGCCUUCGGGUUGUAAACCGCUUUCGCCUGUGACGAAGCGUGAGUGACGGUAAUGGGUAAAGAAGCACCGGCUAACUACGUG